GCCGGGAUCGGCUAGUGGUUAGGCUGGCGGCCUGUGGAGCCGCCGAGGUGGGUUCGAAUCCCACUCCCGGCCCCA
RNAcentral lists this transfer RNA (75 nucleotides) under archaeon. RNAcentral's name for it is "tRNA-His". It matches the Rfam family "tRNA". From Rfam's summary of the family: Transfer RNA (tRNA) molecules are approximately 80 nucleotides in length. RNAcentral also lists the same sequence under 2 other names. The record is from RNAcentral.